RNAcentral lists this ribosomal RNA (690 nucleotides) under uncultured Serratia sp. RNAcentral's name for it is "bacterial SSU rRNA". It matches the Rfam family "Bacterial small subunit ribosomal RNA", at positions 819 to 1509 of the family's 1533-position model. The record is from RNAcentral. Lineage: Bacteria; Pseudomonadati; Pseudomonadota; Gammaproteobacteria; Enterobacterales; Yersiniaceae.
GGAGGUUGUGCCCUUGAGGCGUGGCUUCCGGAGCUAACGCGUUAAAUCGACCGCCUGGGGAGUACGGCCGCAAGGUUAAAACUCAAAUGAAUUGACGGGGGCCCGCACAAGCGGUGGAGCAUGUGGUUUAAUUCGAUGCAACGCGAAGAACCUUACCUACUCUUGACAUCCAGAGAACUUAGCAGAGAUGCUUUGGUGCCUUCGGGAACUCUGAGACAGGUGCUGCAUGGCUGUCGUCAGCUCGUGUUGUGAAAUGUUGGGUUAAGUCCCGCAACGAGCGCAACCCUUAUCCUUUGUUGCCAGCGGUUCGGCCGGGAACUCAAAGGAGACUGCCAGUGAUAAACUGGAGGAAGGCGGGGAUGACGUCAAGUCAUCAUGGCCCUUACGAGUAGGGCUACACACGUGCUACAAUGGCAUAUACAAAGAGAAGCGACCUCGCGAGAGCAAGCGGACCUCAUAAAGUAUGUCGUAGUCCGGAUUGGAGUCUGCAACUCGACUCCAUGAAGUCGGAAUCGCUAGUAAUCGUAGAUCAGAAUGCUACGGUGAAUACGUUCCCGGGCCUUGUACACACCGCCCGUCACACCAUAGGAGUGGGUUGCAAAAGAAGUAGGUAGCUUAACCUUCGGGAGGGCGCUUACCACUUUGUGAUUCAUGACUGGGGUGAAGUCGUAACAAGGUACCAAGGGCGAA